CAACCAGGUGGAACUACAGCUGGACGAGGCCAGGACCACCUAUCGGAGGAUCCUGCAGGAGUCGGCGAGGAAACUGAAUACACAGGGUUCCCACUUGGGGAGCUGCAUCGAGAAAGCCCGGCCCUACUAUGAGGCUCGGCGGCUGGCUAAGGAGGUAUGGCUGGCUGACCACGUUUGAGGAAGGCUACAUGCUGAGCCUGGCCCUGGAUUCUUCUGUCUCUAUGUGGAGUGAGAGACAAAACACCAGACCCUGAGGGCAGAGCCCUGGGCUAGACCUGGCUGGUCGGAACCAGCUCUGUGGGCUCAGGAGGUUCCUUUACCACCGUGGGCUCUGGGCUCAUGGUCUAUAAAAUGGUGAGGGUGGGUGUGGGAGAACAUUCAGUUCAGCCCUGCUAAUGUUUAAGUGCCUUCUGCGUAUCAGGAACCAGGCUUUAGGGUAUAUCAGAUGUCAGUUCUAACAUCUUGUUGUUUUCAUCUACACCCAUUUCCUCUUCCCUUUGGUUCAUGUCUCUCUUCUGAAUCAUUUCUUUGCUUACUCCUCACUCUUUUCCCCAUCCCACCCCCCCUUUUUUCUGUAACAAAUUAUUUUUAACAAAUAAUAUGUGUUCACCGUUGGAAGAACAUAAUAAAACAAGAAGGAAACAAAAAUCACCCAAAA
RNAcentral lists this small RNA (658 nucleotides) under Pongo abelii (Sumatran orangutan). RNAcentral describes it as "processed transcript". Lineage: Eukaryota; Metazoa; Chordata; Mammalia; Primates; Hominidae. The record is from RNAcentral.